CUAGCACAUCUCCCACCCUCUGAGAUGAUUUAAAAAGUUUUUCCUUUAGUGGAAUGCUUACCUCUUUUUUUUUCAGAGUAUUGUAUUUUUUCCCCAAAGUUACAUUGCAAAGUCAGCUCUGGUUAGAGAGGUUAGUUUUAGAGUAAUCCAAAGAACAAAUACUAAUCACAUUUUAUUUCAUUUAAUAAAAGAUAUUCUCCCAGGGUAGAUACUUGGGCAUCUACAGAAGUGAGCAUUCACCCUUUGACUUUGUGAGUCAGUAGCCUUUCUAAAUUGACUCUGGACCAGCCAUCCUGGAGCUUUGAUUUCAUGACAUACAUGUAUCUACAUGAGUUGUGAGUUGACACAGGAACCAUAGUUCCAUAACUAUCUUUGAAUUAAUUAGUAUACUCAAUGGAUUUUUUUCUGAGAGACUUAUAUUAAGCCAAUGGUAUGAAAUUGAUGACAUUUUAAGGUUGAGAAAGUAAGGUUUUCUUUUUUUUUUUUUUUAAUCAAUAAUAAAGUACAGAAAUUUGUGAGUGAUUGACUCAUUACCAAAGUAAAUUAAAAUGAAAUAUGUCACUUUAGUCACUUGCAAUUAAAUAUGCUUUCUGGAAGGGGUAGCCCUGUGGCUGGUAUGCCAUGAAUUGUGCCUUAAUGCAUUGUUAUAUGUGAACUUGGUGUGUGUGCCACGGUGGAAGACAGGUUGAAAAAUGUUGAUCUACAUCUUGUUGAGAUGGCAGAGGGUAGAGGUGGCCUCCUCUGGAGGUGCUUCCUUACACAUCCAUUAAGCAAGGACUCCUGAUCUCUCCCUUCUCAGAUCACCCCAACUCCCUGCAAAAGGGAGUUCAGGAUAAAGAACUGGACAUGCAAACCUUUCUCCCCUUUCUGGGGAUUUGUAAUGCUUGCAGAGAGCCUGUGUUUUAUUCUCUUGACAGACAUGGCAUAAGCUUUGCAGUGAAAGGCUCUGUGACUCUGCAGGGGGAGCCCUGGAGUUGUGCAGGACCGCCCAUUCCUUGGUGAGCAGGUCUGUCUUAUUCUGGGUUAGAUAUUAGGUGGCUAUUAUUGGUGCAAACCUAAAUCUGAUACACUGAAUCUCCAUUGCCUGGCUUGGCCUCUCAAGUGGCUCAGAAGCCAGGAGGGGGACGGGGAAUAUUAUUUCAUGAUUCCCUCAAACCUCAACAAAAAUUUGUGAAAAUUGUAUUUCAAAGUAAGCGUAAGAUAAACACCAAAUUGGGAUUUUUUUUUUUCUAAUUUUACCCAUUUUUCAAGUCAUGGAAGUUCUGUUGGACAUGGAUAAUGUCAAUCACAAGACAAUAUGUAAACAUUUGUUCAGGAUGUCCAAAGACCUAUCCCCUGGGAAUUGUGAAAGACCACAGUAUUGACUCUAGAUUUACUUAGAAGGAGAAAAUGUUAAACAAAUCAUAUUUUCUGCCCACCCUGUUAACUUUCUUAGAGUAUAGUUUAUGUAUAGUAAAUGUACCCUAUAUUGUAAGUUUACAGUUUGAGGAGUUUUAACAAAUGUGAACAACCACAC
This is a long non-coding RNA of Mustela erminea (ermine), 1516 nucleotides long. RefSeq lists it as uncharacterized. The record is from RefSeq and is a predicted model, not a curated record. The transcript has 2 exons. Lineage: Eukaryota; Metazoa; Chordata; Mammalia; Carnivora; Mustelidae.